CACUGUAUAGCUACUACAGCAUUAACCUUUUAAGUUAAAGAUGAGAAAGCACCUUCUCUACAGUGA
RNAcentral lists this transfer RNA (66 nucleotides) under Trachypithecus poliocephalus (white-headed langur). RNAcentral describes it as "tRNA-Lys". The record is from RNAcentral. Lineage: Eukaryota; Metazoa; Chordata; Mammalia; Primates; Cercopithecidae.